RNAcentral lists this small nucleolar RNA (103 nucleotides) under Chelonia mydas (Green sea turtle). RNAcentral describes it as "Small nucleolar RNA U3". It matches the Rfam family "Small nucleolar RNA U3". From Rfam's summary of the family: Small nucleolar RNAs (snoRNAs) are involved in the processing and modification of rRNA in the nucleolus. There are two main classes of snoRNAs: the box C/D class, and the box H/ACA class. Lineage: Eukaryota; Metazoa; Chordata; Testudines; Cheloniidae. The record is from Rfam by way of RNAcentral.
GAGACUAUACUUUCAGGGAUCAUUUCUAUAGUUUGUAACUAGAGAAGUGUAGCCGAAAGUGACUUGAGCUGGUGCAAUUCCUGGCCACCAGGUGAAGGAGGAA